Cyprinus carpio carpio is the source of this 444-nucleotide long non-coding RNA. NCBI's taxonomy places the organism in Eukaryota, Metazoa, Chordata, Actinopteri, Cypriniformes, Cyprinidae. The record is from Ensembl.
UCUGAUUUGUAUAACAGGCAUUUCAUUGAAUUUACAGAAUUCAUCCCAGACUUCUGACCACACAGUGGCAGUAUAACAUCAGGAAAGUGAGCUGAUUUUUGCAUAGCAGGAAGAGAAAGAUGAAGUAACAGGCUGGAGAGGAUCUCUUAAAGUGACCAUUAAUCAGAUUGAUCAUAGACCAACUUCACAUCAAGGCCAUCGACGAAAAAUGAGGAAACAAAUCAAACGAGCUUAAAAAAUAAAUAAAUAAAAAAUAGCAAAUGCUGUUUGCAUAUAUAGGGAACUAAGUGACUGUUGCAAUCAUAAGUUUAACAUAUUAUACAUUAAUUAAAGGGUGUUAUUACAAUUGUCAUAUGUAAAUGUUUAGUUGAUCAAAAUAUCACAAUAAAGUCAUGUACAAAACUUAAACUGAUGGGGAAAAAAUGUAUGCGUGCAUAUUAGCCA